This 901-nucleotide long non-coding RNA is filed under the name Anser brachyrhynchus (Pink-footed goose). RNAcentral's name for it is "lncRNA (ENSABRG00000017049.1)". Lineage: Eukaryota; Metazoa; Chordata; Aves; Anseriformes; Anatidae. The record is from RNAcentral.
CCACAAAAGAAAUCUGUUUUGCUGUUGAGCAUCCUAAUGCCUAAUUUGUCUCUGUCUGGCUCUGGGCUUUGAUUGCACAAUCCCAGGUUGAAUUCCCUUUUCAGUGAACAGAUGCCUCAAGAUAUUGCUGCUGCAGACUUCUGUAUAGAGCAGGGAAUCCUGUGUUUGGUUUAGAUGACAUGAAUACUUGCAGCAGUUAAGGUGUGUCAGCAGAAGUCCAAUUUACUCUGCCAUCCUUACAUUUUCUCUGUUGCCCAACUGAGCAGCCCACAACUGCACAGGCUGACUAUGGGAGCAGGCCCCAUGGCGCUCAGGUUAAGACGGCUGCUGGGCCCAUCCCCUGCAUAGCCCCAGGGCCCUCAGUCAGUGGGGGCCAUCCUGCAGUGGAAUUGCCUGCUGUUAUUAUUUGGAGAAAACAAAUUGGAGAUUUCUCCUUGGUGCUUAGAUAGCAGCAGAGAUGCUUGGAGAUCCCUAUAUAUUGAACAGAGGAGUUGGACAAUAGAGUCAAAUUGAAGGAAGCAAGCAACAUGCUGAGCAUUCACCAUUGGUGGAGAAGACUGAAAUUCCCAUGUGUGGAAGAGAAUGUGAAAAGAAGUGAGGGGAAGAGGAAAAAUAGAAAACGAAGAAGGUUCUGAUGUUUAGCUUCCUUCCUGCCUUAAGUUUCAACUGGAAGACUUGCAGUUAAUGGUCAAAGGCUGCUGUUUGGCUCGGCUACCUUGGCAAUGUGCUCAAGUAGAAGGACUGGAUCUUUCUUGCAAGGCAGGAGAAGUGUUGGUAACCCUUUCUGAGGGGUGCUAGGGCACGGUUUAAUUUGCUUGGGGACAUCCACAGAGAGCUCCCAGACUCAGAUCUGUUGGAGGAGCUGGCUUGGGUUUCAUGCCAUUGCUGCUGGAGGCAGCAG